Molecule: ribosomal RNA, 497 nt
Filed under: uncultured bacterium
Lineage: Bacteria
Description: partial 16S ribosomal RNA
Rfam family: Bacterial small subunit ribosomal RNA
Source: RNAcentral
GAUGAACGCUGGCGGCGUGCCUAAUACAUGCAAGUCGAGCGAACAGACGCUGAGCUUGCUCCUCUGACGUGUGCCGAGGACGUGAGAGUAACGCGUGUAUAACCUACCUAUCAUUCUGAUAUCACUUCGGAACACCGGAUCUUAUACCGUAUAAUAUAUUGAUCCGCGUUGGUCAAUGGUGAAAUACGGUGUUGCUGGCACUUAUCGCUGGUUCCGCGCCGCAUUAGCUAGUUGUUAAGGUAACGGCUUACGAAGGCAACUCUGCGUAUCCGACCGGAGAGGCGGAUCGGCCACCCUGGAACUGAGACACGGACCAUACUCCUACGGGACGCAGCAGUAGGGAACCGUCCGCAAUGGGCGAAAGCCUGACGGAGUAACGCGGCGUGAGUGAUGAAGGCCUCCGGAUCGUAAAACUCUGUUAUUAGGGAAGAACAAAUGUGUAAGUAACUAUGCACGUCUUGACGGUACCUAAUCAGAAAGCAACGGCUAACUACGUG